Molecule: long non-coding RNA, 855 nt
Organism: Poecilia reticulata (guppy)
Lineage: Eukaryota; Metazoa; Chordata; Actinopteri; Cyprinodontiformes; Poeciliidae
Source: RefSeq, a predicted model, not a curated record
AAGCAAAUGAACCAGGAUUUGCUCGCACAGCUGAAACGUUACUCUGGCUCAUAUUAGUCGUGAUUCUCUGGCAAAAGUCGGCGAUGAUGUAAUAUCUGAACCUGAUCAGACCCAGCUGCCACUGACAGGAGUCAGAGACGUGACUUUAUGUCGGCUUGUGAGCGUGGCUUCAACUUCCUGUGCUGGCCUGACCCAUCUGUGGCCAUGUGGGACUCUCCACAGGCAGAUGAACUUUUCCACCUCUUGUUGUGGACAGGGCCCCAAGUCCUGCUGGAAACUGAAAUCAGCAUCUCCAUGAAGCUCGUCAGUAGAUGGAAAGCUGGAAUGUCCUGGUAGACGGCUGCAGUGACUGUGGACUUGAGAAAACCCGGAGGACCAACAGGAGCAGAUAACGUGGCACCCAAAACCAUCACUGAGUGCAAACGUCCCACUGGACUUCAAGUGCCUCUCCACUCUUCCUCCAGAGUCUGAGACCUUGAUUUCCAAGUGAAAUGCAAACUUUAUUUUGAUCUAAAAAGAGAAAUGUGAACAAUUGACCAAAAGACCAGAUAAUUUCUCCCUUACCUCAGGGAAGACUUCAGACAUUGACCCUAGUUCAGGAGCAGCUUGAUACCUGCAAAGUGACACCUGUAACACAUUCAUGCCUCUCUAUUCUCCAACGUCUUUUAAUAAGUAGUCUGUUUGUGUGUGUUUUAUCUAAGAUUGCAUAUUGCUUGGUUCAAGCAAAUCUAGAAUAUGUAACUUUAUUUUUAAAGUCUUUUGUAUUUCCAAGCCACAUUGUGCCAUUUUAUAGCACAAUCAAGUAACUAUAGUCACUAUAAAAAUACUGUGUAUAUAAAAUAUGACUUAAAUGAA